CAUCGCUCAGGGGCAGGCGUCGUCUGCAACCUACGAUAAGAACAUACCCGACGCGGUGAAGGAUCGAGGGCCAAGUGCUGGCCCUGACCCUGGCGGGGACAAAUCUGAUUCCAAGACCAAUCCAGUAAGGUUGAGAAAUGCCCCGGGGGCCCCAGGCCCAGGAGUCUUUGCCUCUUCCGUCAUCCGAGGUGGAUUUCGUUUCUUUUCCCCCCCGCACGAGUCCCAGCAGCGAACCAGGAGAUUUAGUUUCGCAGGAACUUUCCCGUUGACUUCUUGGUUUGAAAGUUGAAGCCCCAGGGGAGUAAGGCGGGCCACAAACAUCUCAAAACCCCGCUAAUCCUAGACAAAAUAAAAAUACAAUAGGCCACAGACUAACCAACUUCGGGCCCUUUCCGCGGCGGUCUCCUGGCCGGGCGCACAAGGAGCUGCGCAACCCGCCAGAAGGGAACCGUUCUCACUCCAGUUCCCCACCUGUGGGAAGACCUCAGGAAGGUCUUAGAACCCGGUCUCCUCUCUACUGCCUACUCACGUCCCCGAAACAAGUAUAAAAACAACACCGAAUCCGCGGUACCCACAGCUCCGAGAGAGGGGGCCAAGAAGCCCCGGAGGCUUGCCUUGAGGCCGAGCUCCGAGCUCCAGGACAUAGGGUCUCCCUGGGAGACGAAACCCAGCUGGAGAACUCGCGGCCUGGGAGCCCCGGGCCCCCACUCGCGAGACUACUCGCUGGGCGCGAUGGAUGCAUUUCCUAAGCCUCACGCCGGAUAGCUGGGAGGCAGGCAGAAGAUCAAGGCUCUAGCACGAUGGAAUCUUAAAGAAAAAAAUAAAUAAAUGUGAAGCAAACCAAACUUCAAGCCUGCAGGUCCCCGCGGAAAGUGAGGUGGAGACGAAGGGGGCGGGAACGGCGGAGGCACAGUGAGUGGGGGAUGCGGCAAGAAUUCCGUUCCCUGCAGAGUCGAUGCCUUAGGGGGCUCCACCACCUCGAGCUCCCUCCCACCCACAAGAUGUCAACGUCUCCUAGGAAGGAUUCCUGCCUCAUGAACUCAAGCUUGAGAUGCUUCCUCUACAAAGACUGAAGCUGAAUUUUAGAAGAUGCCUCAGUCAUUUUUGGUGGUCUUCAGGACACAUCGAAGAACUCUCCUAUCAUGAAAGGGAGAGAAUGAAAUGCUCAUGAGCCUCCAUCAGGAAAGCUAGAAAUCUCCCAAAUCCCAUGACUCUGAUUUUCAGGUCAGAGAGUAAGGUUUUAUGUUUAGUAUUUUUUUAUACUUUGCAUAUAGAGAGUCCCUGAAGAGGCACGUGAUGCACUGACUAUUUUGUGAGGCCAGUUUGGGUGAGGCCAGGACUCAGGUGCAGCCGCGAGUACUCAAUGGCACCUGCAUAGCGAUUUGUGGGACCCAUGUCAGCUCCUACUACUUUCUGACAAAUAGCACCCUCCCCCUCCCUGGAGUUGGAGAGCAGGGCUCCUCUUUUGGGCUGAGCCAAUCCCAGGAUGCAUAAGGGGUUGGGGUAGUGCCCCAGUAUUUAAGAAGAUUAAAAUUCUAUAUGUGGCACUUCUGAUUUAAUUCCUAAAUGGCAGCUGCCUUAAGCAUGUGGGAAAUCAGGAGCCUUGCUAAAAAUGUAAACUUAAAAGACCAUUAAUUUAAGAGUAAUGAAAACUAUGUCCACAUAAAAACUUGGUCAAUGAAUGUUUAUAGCAACAUUAUUCAUAAUAGUCCCAAAGGGGAGACUAUCC
Molecule: long non-coding RNA, 1729 nt
Organism: Hipposideros armiger (great roundleaf bat)
Lineage: Eukaryota; Metazoa; Chordata; Mammalia; Chiroptera; Hipposideridae
Exons: 3
Source: RefSeq, a predicted model, not a curated record